RNAcentral lists this transfer RNA (72 nucleotides) under Candidatus Bathyarchaeota archaeon. RNAcentral's name for it is "tRNA-Thr". It matches the Rfam family "tRNA". Rfam says of the family: Transfer RNA (tRNA) molecules are approximately 80 nucleotides in length. Their secondary structure includes four short double-helical elements and three loops (D, anti-codon, and T loops). The record is from RNAcentral. Lineage: Archaea; Thermoproteati; Candidatus Bathyarchaeota.
GGCGAUAUGGCUUAGCGGUAGAGCAAUGGACUUGUAAUCCAUGGGUCAGGGGUUCAAAUCCCCUUAUCGCCU